GCGAAUGGCUCAUUACAACAGCUAUAAUUUACUUGAUCUUGACACUAUCCUACUUGGAUAACUGUGGUAAUUCUAGAGCUAAUACAUGCAUUAAAGCUCUGACCUCGCGGAGAGGAGCGCAUUUGUUCGCCACAAAACCAAGCGCCUUCACAGGCGUUCAGUGUUGACUCAGAACAACUCAGCUGAUCGCACGGUCUUGCACCGGCGACGUGUCUUUCAAGUGUCUGCCUUAUCAACUUUCGAUGGUAGUGUACCUGACUACCAUGGUGAUGACGGGUAACGGAGGAUAAGGGUUCGACUCCGGAGAAGGGGCCUGAGAAAUGGCCACUACGUCUAAGGAUGGCAGCAGGCGCGCAAAUUACCCACUCUCAGAAUGAGGAGGUAGUGACGAGAAAUAACGAGACCGUUCUCUACGAGGCCGGUCAUCGGAAUGGGUACAAUUUAAACCCUUUAACGAGUAUCUAUGAGAGGGCAAGUCUGGUGCCAGCAGCCGCGGUAAUUCCAGCU
RNAcentral lists this ribosomal RNA (507 nucleotides) under Helicotylenchus varicaudatus. RNAcentral's name for it is "SSU rRNA". It matches the Rfam family "Eukaryotic small subunit ribosomal RNA", at positions 89 to 590 of the family's 1831-position model. The record is from RNAcentral. Lineage: Eukaryota; Metazoa; Nematoda; Chromadorea; Rhabditida; Hoplolaimidae.